GCGGGUGAAGUGCUCCGGAGGCACGCCCGGCUUCCAACCGGGAGGCGUGGGUUCGACUCCCAUCAUCCGCU
This 71-nucleotide transfer RNA is filed under the name Elusimicrobiota bacterium. Its description in RNAcentral is "Elusimicrobia bacterium tRNA-Gly". It matches the Rfam family "tRNA". Rfam says of the family: Transfer RNA (tRNA) molecules are approximately 80 nucleotides in length. Their secondary structure includes four short double-helical elements and three loops (D, anti-codon, and T loops). Further hydrogen bonds mediate the characteristic L-shaped molecular structure. tRNAs have two regions of fundamental functional importance: the anti-codon, which is responsible for specific mRNA codon recognition, and the 3' end, to which the tRNAs corresponding amino acid is attached (by aminoacyl-tRNA synthetases). tRNAs cope with the degeneracy of the genetic code in two manners: having more than one tRNA (with a specific anti-codon) for a particular amino acid; and 'wobble' base-pairing, i.e. permitting non-standard base-pairing at the 3rd anti-codon position. The record is from RNAcentral. Lineage: Bacteria; Pseudomonadati; Elusimicrobiota.